Small nuclear RNA from Sorex araneus (European shrew), 185 nucleotides. RefSeq annotates it as U2 spliceosomal RNA. NCBI's taxonomy places the organism in Eukaryota, Metazoa, Chordata, Mammalia, Eulipotyphla, Soricidae. The record is from RefSeq and is a predicted model, not a curated record. The transcript has a single exon.
AUCACUUCUCAGCCCUUUGGCUAGGAUCAAGUGUAAUAUCUGUUCUUAUCAGUUCAAUAUCUAAUACGGCCUCUAUCCAAAGACAAUAUAUUAAAUGGAUUUGGGGGGCUAGGAAGUGGGAUAGGAUCUUGCUACAUCCAUUGCCUGCAUCGACCUGGUAUUGUACCUCCAGGAAUGCACAGAAA